GUACGCACAGAGAGGAGAUGUAAAUUCAGCGAAGGUGCUUGACUUCCUUCGUACCACACAAGAGAUCUACCUCUCUGAUCUCAAAUACUCUGGCUCCUGUGUAGAAAGCGGCCCCUCUCUUUCCCUCACUGCAGCGGAGGCUCUGUUCUCGUCUCUCAGGCAGGACGCUGCCCCCUGCUGAGAUCUCUAGGCUGUGUGGACUUAGGGCUGUACUGGUGAAGAAUGAAGGGCAGUUAAAAUCACAGCUGCAAGAAUUCAGACACACAAGCACAUUACAUACAGAUGAGGUUUCAGUAGUCUGCACACUUACUGAGUAUUGGCUGGCAGAGAUUCUGCCCAUGCAGAGACAGCAGAGGACAUGACGCCCCCAGAUUCAGCGCCUGAGAGGAAAAUGACUGAAUAACCAGCAGGUCCCUGAUUGUAAUAUCUCAUUAUGAAAGAGAUCUUCAGUCAUGCUGUUUUAUAGUCAAGGAUUUCAAGAAACUCGGGAUCAAUCAGCUUCAGCAACAAUUCGGAUU
Molecule: long non-coding RNA, 518 nt
Filed under: Sinocyclocheilus anshuiensis
Lineage: Eukaryota; Metazoa; Chordata; Actinopteri; Cypriniformes; Cyprinidae
Description: lncRNA (ENSSANG00000036340.1)
Source: RNAcentral